Molecule: long non-coding RNA, 232 nt
Organism: Stomoxys calcitrans (stable fly)
Lineage: Eukaryota; Metazoa; Arthropoda; Insecta; Diptera; Muscidae
Exons: 3
Source: RefSeq, a predicted model, not a curated record
GAUGUUGUGUCUGUGCUGCCAACGUUAAACGCUGAGGACAGAGGAUAAAACAUGUGGAACUAGAUUUCAUGGUAUUGUACACAAAAUGCUAAGAUUGACGGUGUCUCCGACAACGAAGAGAUGAUCGUAAUGACAAUAAAUUGGUUUAUGUAGCGAACUAGCUGAUCCGGGCCCGCUCCGCUGCGCCUUCUUUUACUUUAUAUGUAACAAAAGUUUCCUUGGAAUAUUUAUU